GUAAGGAAUAUUGGGCAAUGGAGGCAACUCUGACCCAGCCAUGCCGCGUGAAGGAUUGACGGCCCUCUGGGUUGUAAACUUCUUUUGUACGGGAAUAACCCUCCGAACGUGUUCGGAGCUGAAGGUACCGUAAGAAUAAGGAUCGGCUAACUCCGUGCCAGCAGCCGCGGUAAUACGGAGGAUCCAAGCGUUAUCCGGAUUUACUGGGUUUAAAGGGUGCGUAGGCGGAUUGAUAAGUCAGUGGUGAAAUCCUGCAGCUUAACUGCAUAACUGCCAUUGAUACUGUCAGUCUGGAGUAUGGUUGAGUUAGCUGGAAUGUGUCAUGUAGCUUUGAAAUGCUUAGAGAUGACACAUAACACCGACGUCGACGGCAGGUUACCAACCCAUUACUGACGCUGAGGCACGAAAGCGUGGGGAUCAAACAGGAUUAGAUACCCCUGUAGUCC
RNAcentral lists this ribosomal RNA (446 nucleotides) under uncultured bacterium. RNAcentral describes it as "partial 16S ribosomal RNA". It matches the Rfam family "Bacterial small subunit ribosomal RNA", at positions 354 to 796 of the family's 1533-position model. The record is from RNAcentral.